CCCUUAGAUGUUCUGGGCCGCACGCGCGCUACACUGACGAUGGCAACGAGUUUUUCCUUCGCCGAAAGGUGUGGGUAAUCUUUUGAAACAUCGUCGUGCUGGGGAUAGAUCAUUGCAAUUUUUGAUCUUGAACGAGGAAUUCCUAGUAAGCGCGAGUCAUCAGCUCGCGUUGAUUACGUCCCUGCCCUUUGUACACACCGCCCGUCGCUACUACCGAUUGAAUGGUUUAGUGAGGACUCCUGAUUGGCGCCGCCGCCCCGGCAACGGAGCAGCGGACUGCCGAAAAGUUGUUCAAACUUGAUCAUUUAGAAGAAGUAAAAGUCGUAACA
This 329-nucleotide ribosomal RNA is filed under the name uncultured eukaryote. RNAcentral's name for it is "partial 18S ribosomal RNA". It matches the Rfam family "Eukaryotic small subunit ribosomal RNA", at positions 1470 to 1796 of the family's 1831-position model. The record is from RNAcentral.